This 76-nucleotide transfer RNA is filed under the name Bacillota bacterium. RNAcentral describes it as "Firmicutes bacterium (anaerobic digester metagenome) tRNA-Ile". It matches the Rfam family "tRNA". Rfam says of the family: Transfer RNA (tRNA) molecules are approximately 80 nucleotides in length. Their secondary structure includes four short double-helical elements and three loops (D, anti-codon, and T loops). Lineage: Bacteria; Bacillati; Bacillota. The record is from RNAcentral.
GGGCCCAUAGCUCAACGGUUAGAGCUGCCGGCUCAUAACCGGUAGGUUCUAGGUUCGAAUCCUAGUGGGCCCACCA